This 6053-nucleotide long non-coding RNA is filed under the name Sus scrofa (pig). Its description in RNAcentral is "lncRNA (ENSSSCG00000062240.1)". The record is from RNAcentral. Lineage: Eukaryota; Metazoa; Chordata; Mammalia; Artiodactyla; Suidae.
GGCCAAUAGAGUGCAAAUCAAACGUACCUAACAUUUUCUGCAAGGUUAGAACAGGAAACUGUCAGUCCAGAUGGAUGAGGUCAAGAAGAAAUGGCCCCAGGAAUGUCCUCUACCCAACAAUAUGUCCACUUGCUUCCCAUGAGUUAGGAGGCCUCCCUAUUUUGGUGUGCAUUCAAGUUACGUCAUUUCCUCUGAACUUCUAUGAAACCUAUUUCUGGAAGCUCCAGGCCCUCAGAAUGCCCCCUAAAAGGUGCCUGAAAUUAAAGUUGCAAAGAGGGCUUUCCUGGUCUUGGAGAACAGGGCUAGGCAAUGGCCUUCACUAUGCCUUGUUUUUCCAAUCCUUUGGCAAGCCUAUGGGAACUAAGUUGCCGCUAGUAUUGUCAGCCCUGGAUUUAUUCCUCUGCUUUCUGCUUCCUCAGCUACUCCCAUCUAGGUGCCAUGAUGCUGGCAGAUGCCAUCCUACUAUAGUUUCCAGAGUCAUCAGGCUGUGAGGUAGGUGGGGUAUGGACAACCUCAGUCCUGACUUCACUCACCUCUUUAUCCCUGGACUCAAUAGAGGCUGAGUUCCUCUGUUCUCCAUAUCUCCUUUACUAGCCAUUGCUAGCCCUGGCCCCUAACUCCCCUGAAAGUAACUCAAACACCACUAUCUGUAUUCAUGCCUCAAUCACCACAGGCAAAUUAUUUCACCCAAAUAACCAUGAUUGGCCCUUUAUAAAUGUUCAAUCAAUAUUAACCAGUAGCAGGAGUUAAGAAUCUAAAUGCAACAGCUAGGAUCUCUGCAGAGGCGAAGGUUUGAUCUCCAGCCUGGCACAGAUCCCUUAACAGUGGGUUAAAGGAUCUGGUUUUGCCACGGUUGUAGCUAGGAUUCAAUCCCUGGCCUAGGAACUUCCAUAUACCUGGGUACAGCCAUUUAAAAAAUAUUAACAUGGUUUCCGUCAUGGCACAGUGGAAACUUAUCUGACUAGGAACCAUGAGGUUGUGGGUUCAAUCCCAGGCCUCACUCAGUGGGUUAAGGAUCGGGCAUUGCUGUGAGCUGUGGUGUAGGUCACAGAUGUGGCUCAGAUCUGGCAUUGCUGUGGCUGGGGUGUAGGCUGGCAGCUACAGCUCCGAUUAGACCCCUAGCCUGGGAACCUCCAAAUACUGUGGGUGUGGGCCUAAAGGAAAAAAAAUAACUUAUAGCAGCAGCAGUAGAAGUAAUAGUAGUAGUAGUAAUAAUAGUAGUAACAACUGCCUCAGUUGCUAUCCAAGAAUGGAAUCUUCUUUAUACCCAUUCAGAGCUGGCGGACCAUGCUGUGCCAUUCCAAAUCUUCCCAAAUGUUAUCUAGUUACCACCUGAUUCUUGUAUUCUUCAAUGUGGUGUAACUUGAUUAUCUGGAAAUUGUCAUGUCCCUUGGCCCUGUAACUAGCCACCCUGACCCCCUCACCCUACAAGAUCUGUCCUCAUGUAUGCCUCAGUUCCUCCCAUACUUAUUCUCUUAUGCAGGGGUGUCAUGCCAAUAAUCCAGGCUCAGAUACUCUUCCCUGUGUAGUUGCCAACAGCCAGGAUAAAGCAUUCUUAGGACAUGAUGUCUGAUAGGGACUCCUUCUUCCUAUGACAGUUAAGCUUCUGGUGAUGUGGCUUAGGUACAUUCACCCUUUUAAGUACUCUUUAUGCUAUUCUGGGGAGCAGCUGUCUUUCCCAUACUCCCUUUCUCUUCCUUCCUCCUAUAUUUUUUCACUUCUACUGUCAUUACAAUAGUGCUUAUUGUGUUUCUUCAAAGGUACUCAGUGAGAGGGUGGGUAGGUCCUGGAGGGGAUAUAUGAGAGAAGAACUAUCUUGCUGCUGGAUGAUUUCAUACUUAAUUGGAAAUUAACCCUGGCCCUUAGCUCUCCAGGGUAUAUUCAUAUCCAGCAAGAAAUCACAUCACUGGUCUCCUCAUUUCCUCUCAUUUCAUCCUAUAGUAAUUCACCACACAGCAGUGAGAGUGAUCUUUUAAAAAUGUAAGUCAGAUCAUGCCACAACCCUGCUUGAAGUGGUUUCCCAUUGCACUUGAAAUCCAAAAUCCUUAAUAUGUCCUACAAGGCACUGAAGGGUCUCCCAGUUUGCUUCUCCAGACUCUUCUCACAGCAUUCUUUCCUGCAUCUUCAUACUUCUUCAGCUACAUUGGCUUACUUCAUUUCCCUCAAACAUGCCAUUCUCUCUGUCUCAGGGCCUCAGCACAUAAUUUUUUCUUUUGACUUGGACACUUUUCAUUUGUUUGCAUGGGUAACUUCUUAUAUUUUAGUUCCAGCUCUCUGGUUAAAUGUUAAUUCCUCACAAAAUGUUUCCUUGAGGCCACAAAUUAAACUAGGCAAUGUCCUUGUUGUGACCUAUCAUCCCACUCUUUGCUCUUCCUUAAUAGCACCUUUCAUAAUCUAUUAAAAGUAAAUUAUUAUUCAUUUACUUUUUGUGAUUAUUUAAGGGCUAUCUCCCUUGGAGUGCCAAGAGUAGAACUCCACCCACCAAGGGAAAGCGAAGUUUAUCUAAACCCUCCCUCAAGUCUACCUACUUCUUACAGAAUCUAUAAUAUCCUUGCUUUCUAUUCCUACAGAGUGUCUAGUUCAGACUACUACCACUACUGCUACCAGCAUGGUCCCUGUCAAAUAAUUCUCAAUUGGAACAGAAAAUUCACAAUUAUUUUGGAUUUCAGAAAUACUAGCAUCCCUGCCUAAAUUACCAGAUGGCUGGAGAAGGACUCUUUCAAUUUGAAAAUUCAGCAAUCAAAUUCAAAUACUUGUAUGUGACCCCCCAAAAAAGUUUGUCAAUUAUUAAGGAAGGAAUAAAAUCAAGUAUGAUAUGUUGGCAUAAGUUACUUAGUAGUGAGUCAGCAUCUAUAUCUCAGUUUGGUUAUGCAGUUCUCAAUUCAUAGUGAGUAUGGUGGCAUGUGUAAGUAAGUAUGUAGUAUCUGGAGGCACACUGCUUUUUUUUUAAUUGAAGUAAAACAUACAUACAGGAAAGUGAAAAAAUAAUACAUGUAUGGAUCACUGAAUUUCAUAAAUUAAGUUCACUUAUACAGCAUCACUCAUUUUGAGACAAAACAUUACCAGCACAUUAAAAAUAACCUCCAUGGACUCUUAGAGUAACUCCAGCCCCUUCAAGUGAAAAUUAUUAUCCUCACGUCUAACAUCAAAGACAAAUGUUUUAUUUUUGUAAUUUAUAUAAAUAGAAUAAUACCAUACUUACUCUUCUCUAUAGCUUCUUUGUUCAAUGUUAUAUUUGUGAUAUUCUAAACCAUUGCUCUUAUAUAGUUUGUUGAUUCUCAUUGCUAUAUAUUAUUCCAUUAUGUGAAUAUACCACUAUCUAUGGAAUCAGUCCUUUCUGCUAUUGAUGGCCAUUAAGAAAUUUCCAGUUAUUGGCAAUUAUGGUUAGUGUUUCUUUGAACAUUUCUUAACAUGCCCUGUAGAGAGCAGUGUGCAUUUCUGUUGGGUAUAUGCCUAGGAUUGGAAUGGCUUGGCCAUUGUGUGUGCAUAUAUUCAGUUUUAGUAGUUGUUGUCAAACAUUUUUCCAAAGAUGUACCAUUAUGCAUUUCCAUCAGCAGUGUAUGAUCAUUCUAGUUGUUUUAGAUUCUUACCAACACUUGGAAAUUUUGUAUUUUUUCAUUAUAGCUAUUCUGGUUAUUGUGGAGUGACAUCUCAUUUUCAUGAGGACUAAUGAAGUUGAGGACAUUUUCUAUGUUUGUCAUUUGGAUAUUUUCUUUUGUAAAGUGCUCAAGUCUUUUGCUCAUUUUUCUAUUGGUCAACCUGUCUUUUGACAUUGAUUUGUAGGGAUUAUAUGUAUAUAAUCUGGCUAUACCUCAUUUGUCAAAUAUAUGCAUUACACAAAUUCCUCCAAUUUGUUGCUAAAGUAUUUUUUUAUUGUUGAUGUCAUUUGAUGACUAGAAGGCCUUAAUUUUAAUACACUCUAUUUUUCAAAUGGUUAACAUUUUUAAUAUACCACUUUAAAAAUCAUUGCUUCCUCUAAGACUGCCUGGAUUUGAAUAUUGGAUCCACCACUUUCUGCCUGUAUGACCUUGGACAAAUUACUUAACCUCUCUAGCCUUUGUGUUUUUUACAGUAGAAAGUUGAUUCAUAGUAUUUUUAUAAAGGUGAAAGAACAUGAUGCAUAUAAAAUAGUUUAACACCACACCAAACACAUAAAUAAUCAAUUAUUGCUUAUUUUUCAUUUUAUAUUAUCUAUUAAUAUUUAUAAUUUGGAAAUUUAUAAAAGUUCUAUCUUAAAUAACAAGUCUACUUUCCUUAUAUUAUAUUGAAGGUUUAAAGUCAGACAUUUUCCACUAUAGGUAAAGUUUGUUUUUCAGCAUUCUGAUUUUUCAGAAUUAAGACUAUAAGAAAAAAAAUUUUAAGCCAAAAUAAUUUUCAGACCAUAGCAAGUUAUGAUAACUAAUGGUACUCCCUGAUGGGGAUGUGCAAGCAUGGAGGCAUGGAAUUCCUAAUCAAGAGAGAGUAAUGGCUUGGCAGUUGUGUGUGUGUGUGUGUUAGUGAAGUAUAGUCAACAGAGAAUAUUAUGCUAGUUACAUGUGUACAACAUAGUGAUUUAAUAUUUAGAUAUAUUAUGAAAUGAUCACAAAAGUCUAGUAACCAUUUGUCACAUAUAAAUAUUACAGUAUUAUUGACCAUAAUCCUUAUACUAUAUAUUACAUCCCAUUACUUAUUCAUUUUAUAGAAUUGUGUACCUCUUAAUCUUCUCUAUCUAUUUUUCCCACCCCUUAAAGUGCCUUCCCUCUGGCUACCACUAAUUUAUUCUCUGUUUAUUCUAGUUUAUUCUUCUUUUUCCAUUUAUCUAUUGAUGGACACUGAGGUCGCAUCCAUAGCUUGACUAUGGUAAAUAAUGCUACAAUGAACAUUGAAGUUCAUAUAUAUUUUCAAAUUAGUGUUUUCAUUUCCUUUUUUUAAUUGAAGUACAACUUAACAUAUUAGUUUCAAGCAUAUAAGAUAUAAUUCAAUAUUUUUAUAGGUUAUACUACAUUUAAAAUUACUUUAAAAUAUUGGCUAUAUUCCCAGUACCAUGCAGUGUAUCAUUGUAGCUUACUUAUUUUAUAUAUAGUAGUUUUUAUCUCUUAAUUAUCUACUCACUUUUUUUUCUUUUGUCUUUUUAGGGCUGCACCAGUGGCAUAGGGAAAUUUCCAGGCUAGGGGUCCAAUCAGAGCUACAGCUGCUGGCCUACACCACAGCCACAGCAACACAUGAUCUGAGCCGCAUCUGCGACCUACACCACAGCUCAUGGCAACUUCAGAUCCUUAACCCACUAAAGGAGGCCAGGGAUCGAACCCACAAGCUCAUGGUUCCUAGUCGGAUUCAUUUCCACUGUGCCACUUCUGGAACUCCUUAGUCAUCUACUCAUAUGUUGCCCUUCCUCAUUUCCCUAUCUGUAAGUCUGUAUCUAUUUUGUUAUAUUCAUUUGUUUGUUUCAUUUUAGAUUCCACAUAUAAGUGAAAACAUACAAUAUUUAUCUUUUUCUACCUGACUUAUUUCCCUAAGUAUAAUAACCUGAAGGUCCAGUCAUGUUGCUACAAACAUAUAAGUGAAAACAUACAAUAUUUAUCUUUUUCUACCUGACUUAUUUCCCUAAGUAUAAUAACCUGAAGGUCCAGUCAUGUUGCUACAAAGAACUAAUUUUCAUUAUUUUUAUGGCUAAAUAAUAUUUCAUUGCAUCUUCUUUAUCUUUUAACCUGUUGUUGGACACAUAAAUUGCUUCCAUACCUCAGCUACUGUAAAUAAUGUUGUUAUGAACAUUGGGGUGCGUGUAUCUUUUCAAAUUAGUGUUUUGUAUAUUCUUCGGAUAAAUACCCAGGCAUGGAUAUAUACCAAGAUACUAUAUAGCAAUAUGGAUGUACCUUGAAAGCAUUGUCAGAGAAAGAUGCUAGUCUUAAAAGAUCACAUAUGAUUCUGUUUAAAUGACAUGUCCAAACUAGCAAGUCUGUAGAGACAGAGAGUAGAUUAGCAGUUUCCUAGGUCUAGAGGGCAUGGGGACUGGGAGGUAAUACUUAAAUAGUACAGGGCUUCUUUUUAGCAUAAUGGAAAUGCUUCAAAUUUGA